CCAGGCUGUCUCCACCCGAGACUCAGUGAAAUUGAACUCGCUGUGAAGAUGCAGUGUACCCGCGGCAAGACGGAAAGACCCCGUGAACCUUUACUAUAGCUUGACACUGAACAUUGAGCCUUGAUGUGUAGGAUAGGUGGGAGGCUUUGAAGCGUGGACGCCAGUCUGCGUGGAGCCAACCUUGAAAUACCACCCUUUAAUGUUUGAUGUUCUAACGUUGGCCCCUGACCGGGGUUGCGGACAGUGUCUGGUGGGUAGUUUGACUGGGGCGGUCUCCUCCCAAAGCGUAACGGAGGAGCACGAAGGUUAGCUAAUCCUGGUCGGACAUCAGGAGGUUAGUGCAAUGGCAUAAGCUAGCUUGACUGCGAGCGUGACGGCG
Molecule: ribosomal RNA, 379 nt
Filed under: Klebsiella pneumoniae
Lineage: Bacteria; Pseudomonadati; Pseudomonadota; Gammaproteobacteria; Enterobacterales; Enterobacteriaceae
Description: partial 23S ribosomal RNA
Rfam family: Bacterial large subunit ribosomal RNA
Source: RNAcentral